Molecule: ribosomal RNA, 576 nt
Filed under: uncultured eukaryote
Lineage: Eukaryota
Description: SSU rRNA
Rfam family: Eukaryotic small subunit ribosomal RNA
Source: RNAcentral
UAAAAACCCCGACUUCGGAAGGGGUGUAUUUAUUAGAUACAAAACCAAUGCCCUUCGGGGCUCUUUGGUGAUUCAUGAUAACUAUACGAAUCGCACGGCCUUGCGCCGGCGAUGGUUCAUUCAAAUUUCUUCCCUAUCAACUUUCGAUGUUUGGGUAUUGGCCAAACAUGGUUGCAACGGGUAACGGAGGGUUAGGGCUCGACCCCGGAGAAGGAGCCUGAGAAACGGCUACUACAUCCAAGGAAGGCAGCAGGCGCGCAAAUUACCCAAUCCCGACUCGGGGAGGUAGUGACAAUAAAUACUGAUACAGGGCCCUUUCGGGCCUUGUAAUUGGAAUGGGUACAAUUUAAAUCCCUUAACGAGGAACAAUUGGAGGGCAAGUCUGGUGCCAGCAGCCGCGGUAAUUCCAGCUCCAAUAGCGUAUAUUAAAGUUGUUGUGGUUAAAAAGCUCGUAGUUGAACCUUGGGCCUGGCUGGCCGGUCCGCCUCACCGCGUGCACUGGUCCGGCCGGGCCUUUCCCUCUGUGGAACCCCAUACCCUUCACUGGGCGUGGCGGGGAAACAGGACAUUUACUUU